UGAACGCUGGCGGCGUGCCUAACACAUGCAAGUCGAACGGGAACCCUUGGAUUCGUCUGAGGGGGAGAGUGGCGAACGGGUGAGUAACACGUAGGUGACCUGCCCUAAAGACGGGAAUAACCAUUGGAAACGAUGGCUAAUGCCCGAUGUGCUCGGCGAUUCGUUUCGUUGAGUAAAAGCUCCGGCGCUUUGGGAGGGGCCUGCGGCCCAUCAGCUAGUUGGUAGGGUAAUGGCCUACCAAGGCAGAGACGGGUAGGGGGCGUGAGAGCGUGACCCCCCACACUGGCACUGAGACACGGGCCAGACUUCUACGGAAGGCAGCAGUGAGGAAUAUUGCGCAAUGGGCGAAAGCCAGACGCAGCAACGCCGCGUGGGUGAUGAAGGCCUUCGGGUCGUAAAACCCUUUUGUGGGGGAAGAGUAAGGACGGUACCCCAAGAAUAAGCGUCGGCUAACUACGUGCCAGCAGCCGCGGUAAAACGUAGGACGCGAGCGUUAUCCGGAUUUACUGGGCGUAAAGAGCGUUGAGGCGGUUCCGUAAGUUGGACGUGAAAGCUCCCGGCUCAACUGGGAGAGGCCGUUCAAUACUGCGGGACUUGAGGACAGCAGAGGGGGGUGGAAUUCCCGGUGUAGUGGUGAAAUGCGUAGAUAUCGGGAGGAACACCAGUGGCGAAGGCGGCCCCCUGGGCUGAUCCUGACGCUGGAGGCGAAAGCUAGGGGAGCGAACGGGAUUAGAAACCCCGGUAGUCCUAGCCGUAAACGAUGGAUACUAGGUGUGGGAGGCCGAAAAAACCUUCCGUGCCGUAGCUAACGCGCUAAGUAUCCCGCCUGGGGACUACGGCCGCAAGGCUAAAACUCAAAGGACUUGACGGGAGCCCGCACAAGCAGCGGAGCGUGUGGUGGAAGUCGCGAGGCUACGCGGAAGAACGUUACCAGGGCGUGACAGGCAAGUGAGUAGUGAAGCGAAAGCGGAACGAGCCCUUCGGGGAGCUUGCACAGGUGCUGCAUGGCUGUCGUCAGGUCGUGCCGUGAGGUGUUAGGUUAAGUCCUGUAACGAGCGCAACCCGUACUGUCAGUUACAUGUGUCUGGCGGGACUGCCCGGCUCAACCGGGAGGAAGUUGGGGAUGACGUCAAGUCAGCAUGGCCUUUAUGUCCUGGGCUACACACACGCUACAAUGGCCGGUACAAUGGGUAGCCAAGCCGCGAGGCGGAGCCAAUCCUCCAAAGCCGGUCUCAGUUCGAAUUGUAGGCUGCAACUCGCCUACAUGAAGCUGGAGUUGCUAGUAACCGCAGGUCAGCCACACUGCGGUGAUACGUUCCCGGGCUUUGUACACACCGCCCGUCACGUCAUGGGAGUCGGCAACACCUGAAGCCGGUGGGCCAACCGAAAGGAGGCGGCCGUCG
RNAcentral lists this ribosomal RNA (1403 nucleotides) under uncultured organism. RNAcentral's name for it is "bacterial SSU rRNA". It matches the Rfam family "Bacterial small subunit ribosomal RNA". The record is from RNAcentral.